RNAcentral lists this unclassified non-coding RNA (211 nucleotides) under plant metagenome. Its description in RNAcentral is "partial contains small subunit ribosomal RNA, internal transcribed spacer 1, and 5.8S ribosomal RNA". The record is from RNAcentral.
UUUCCGUAGGUGAACCUGCGGAAGGAUCAUUCAUAAUAAAGUGUUUUAUGGCACUUUUUAAAAAUCCAUAUCCACCUUGUCUGCAAUGUUAGAUCUCGUCAAUCUUGGCGAGAUUUUUAUACAUCAACUCAUUCUUUAACUAAUUUGUCUGAAAAAUAUUAUGAAUACUUAAUUCAAAAUACAACUUUCAACAACGGAUCUCUUGGCUCUC